GACGAACGCUGGCGGCGUGCUUAACACAUGCAAGUCGAACGGAAAGUCCCUGCUUUUGUGGGGUGCUCGAGUUGCGAACGGGUGAGUAACACGUGAGUAACCUGCCCUUGACUUUGGGAUAACUUCAGGAAACUGGGGCUAAUACCGGAUAGGAGCUCCUGCUGCAGGGUGGGGGUUGGAAAGUUUCGGCGGUUGGGGAUGGACUCGCGGCUUAUCAGCUUGUUGGUGGGGUAGUGGCUUACCAAGGCUUUGACGGGUAGCCGGCCUGAGAGGGUGACCGGCCACAUUGGGACUGAGAUACGGCCCAGACUCCUACGGGAGGCAGCAGUGGGGAAUAGUGCACAAUGGGCGGAAGCCUAAUGCAGCACCGCCGCGUGCGGGAUGACGGCCUUCGGGUUGUAAACCGAUUUCGCCUGUGCCGAAGCGUGAGUGACGGUAAUGGGUAAAGAAGCACCGGCUAACUACGUG
RNAcentral lists this ribosomal RNA (468 nucleotides) under uncultured bacterium. Its description in RNAcentral is "partial 16S ribosomal RNA". It matches the Rfam family "Bacterial small subunit ribosomal RNA", at positions 28 to 507 of the family's 1533-position model. The record is from RNAcentral.